GGAAGGAUCAUUGAAUCCAUCCACAUCCACUCGCGAACUAUACCCGUACCCCUCCUGCUGGCUUUCGGGCCACUUGAGCUGGCGUGCUCUCGGGCCGCUGGGGCCUCGCUCUCUAUAGAGCGGGGUCGGCUAAUUUUUCCACACACCCAACCAAACUGUCUGUCUGAAGAUGAUUCGAGCCGGCCUCGCCGAUCGAUUAACAAAGACAACUCUCAACAACGGAUAUCUUGGCUCUCGCAACGAUGAAGAACGCAGCGAAAUGCGAUACGUAGUGUGAAUUGCAGAAUUCCGUGAAUCAUCGAAUCUUUGAACGCAUAUUGCGGUCGAGGCUUCGGCCGAGACCAUGUCUGCCUCAGCGUCGGUGUGAACCCUCAUCCUCCCUCACGGGUUUGGAUGGACCUGGCCUCCUCAGCCCUUGGGCUGGGCUGGCUGAAAUUCGGAGGUCAGCGCUUGGGCCUGUAUGGCAACAGCAAGGUAGGUAGUUUACUACUCCAGCUGGUGCUUUGGGCACUCGUGCGGACCCGCAGGAAUUCUCACCCUUUCGACCUGAGAUCAGGCAAGGCUACCCGCUGAACUUAAGCAUAUCAAUAAGCGGAGGAAAAGAAACUAACCAGGAUUCCCUUAGUAACGGCGAGCGAAACGGGAAAAGUCCAACUUGAAAAUCUCCAGCUUUCAGCUGGCGAAUUGUAGUCUAGAGAAGUGUUCUCUGUGGCCACCUUUGCCCAAAUUCCCUGGAACGGGAUGUCAGAGAGGGUGAGAGCCCCGUCGGCAGAGUGUUGGUCGCUCCACGAGAUGCUUUCGCAGAGUCGGGUUGUUUGGGAAUGCAGCCCUAAUUUGGUGGUAAGUCCCAUCUAAGACUAAAUACUGGCGAGAGACCGAUAGCGAACAAGUACCGUGAGGGAAAGAUGAAAAGAACUUUGAAAAGAGAGUUAAAAAGUGCUUGAAAUUGUUGAGGGGGAAGCCAUUGGCGGCUGUGGGUGCACCUAGGCUCAAAGUGUCUCAACGGACACCUGAAAGUGCUAGGAGCUGGUCAGCAUGGGCUACUCUUGCGAGAUAAACCUUUCUUUGUCGAAAGCCUAUGUCGCGGGGGUGGCCGAGGAACGAAGGGCGCUCUGCCUCCGAGCUGCGCCCUCAAGAUGCUGGCGGAAGGCUGCCAAUGGGCCCGUCUUGAAACACGGACCAAGGAGUCUAACAUGUACGCGAGUUGGUGGGUGGAAAACCCAUAAGCGCAAGUAACCUGACUGGUGGGAUGGCCUGUGCCUGCACCAUCGACCGACCAUGAUCUUCUGUGAAAGGUUCGAGUACGAGCGUACCUGUUGGGACCCGAAAGAUGGUGAACUAUGCCUGAGCAGGGCGAAGCCAGAGGAAACUCUGGUGGAGGCUCGUAGAUGUGCUGACGUGCAAAUCGCUUUUCGGACUUGGGUAUAGGGGCGAAAGACUAAUCGAACUAUCUAGUAGCUGGUUCCCUC
This 1469-nucleotide unclassified non-coding RNA is filed under the name uncultured fungus. RNAcentral describes it as "sequence contains 18S rRNA gene, ITS1, 5.8S rRNA gene, ITS2, 28S rRNA gene". The stretch from base 543 to 1469 matches the Rfam family "Eukaryotic large subunit ribosomal RNA", at positions 1 to 961 of the family's 3401-position model. Lineage: Eukaryota; Fungi. The record is from RNAcentral.